GGUAGUAGCAAAUAUUCGAAUGAGAUCUUGGAUGACUGAAGUGGAGGAGGGUUUCGUGUCAACAGCAGUUGAACACGAGUUAGCCAAUCCUAAGCUCUAUGGGAAACCUGAUAUAUAUUAAGCAUUUAACCGAAUACAACGCUCGCCGUCAGUUGAUGCAACCGUCCUGAUAUAUAUUGAAUGAGCGAAAGGGAAUCCGGUUACAAUUCCGGAGCCUGUUGAGUAUACGUUUGCAUUGGCGUCCCAUACCGGCAACGGUAGCGCCUUUGUAAUCAUGGCAACAUGAAUCCUUUUUCUUCGAGAAGCCAACAAGAGAUAUCGGAAGAGUUCUCUUUUCUGUUUUACAGUCACACUAGCCAUGGAAGUCUUUCAUAGAGAGAUAUGGUUGGACAGGCUGGUAGAGCAUGGUAUUAAAUUGCUGUGUCGAUAUUCUCUUCUUGGACCUUGAAAAUCGAAGACUGGGGCACGCAAACUCUCAACAGCUUGUACCGAAUCCGCAGCAGGUCUCCAAGGUUUAGAGUCUCUAGUC
Molecule: ribosomal RNA, 529 nt
Filed under: Aedes aegypti (yellow fever mosquito)
Lineage: Eukaryota; Metazoa; Arthropoda; Insecta; Diptera; Culicidae
Description: rRNA AAEL028782
Rfam family: Eukaryotic large subunit ribosomal RNA
Source: RNAcentral